RNAcentral lists this long non-coding RNA (3462 nucleotides) under Homo sapiens (human). Its description in RNAcentral is "HSALNT0270328". Lineage: Eukaryota; Metazoa; Chordata; Mammalia; Primates; Hominidae. The record is from RNAcentral.
ACGGCUCGCGGCCAUCUUCCCGGUUUCAUCCACGCAGGCUGACAUGUUCGUGCUGUUCCUUGUCCUGGAGAAACGUCUCAGAGGUCCCCGGAGGGAGCUGGCAAAGGUGACAUCAGCAAGGAUUGGGUGUGGGGUAACCUGCCAGGGCCUUUUGGGAGAAUAACCUGACAUUGCCUGUCAUCAGAUGGAAUGCACGCGACCCUGGCUCAGCAAACUGCAAACAGCCUGGAGUCUGCCUGUGGGGAGCGGUCGAGUGAGUGACAGGUUGGGAGUGGUGGGCAUUAUUGAGGGAGAAAUGCUCAGCCUUGCUGCCAUCCCAGAGAGCAGGCUGCACCGCAGCUUGGGGCCCUGAAACCGUGGUGCUCUUUCAGGGAGGGGGGCACCAGCCGACAGCCCAGUGGGGAGGGAGGGACACAGGGCAGCGGGACAAGGUGCCACCUUCUAAACGCUCCUCACUUGGUCCACUGAGCACCUAUUUCUUUGUCUUAAAAAGUCCACCGAGAGAGAAGCGCUGUUUCUUUGGAUGGGCCUGUCCUAAGGCAGGGUGCAUUCCUCCCGAGUGGGUGCCGGCUCCCCGGGUGGCCCCUUACACCCAGCAGGAAUCACCACAAUCACAGCCCAGGGCACAUCUGUCCCGAGCCAGGCCCCACCACACCAGGCAUCUCCCAGGAUGGUCCGUCAGGGGCUGGGAAGACGGGGCCUCCAACCCGCUGGUGCCUCCCACCCUCACUAUCCGUCUCUGUCUCUGUCUCCCGCCCCUCCUCCACCUGACCAGAGGUGUCACCAUCCAACACACAGCUCAGGCCCUCCCUCUCUGCCACCCCCCAAACCCCGCUGACCCCUGUCCAGGACUGCCCUUGGCCAGCAUGCCCCUGGGUUCCCCCGCUCAGUCCAGGAGGCUCAUGCCCCCAGCACCCCUACUACCACCAGCAGGAGGACGCCGCUGAACCCCAGGCCUGGAGCCCCCAGAGAAGCUGACCCACCCCUCACAACCCCGUGGCUCUGGGUAGGGCCUCUGGAUGGGGGUGGGGUCCCAGGAGAGGGAGGCUCCCGGCAGGCAGGGCAGGCUAGGCCAGGUGACAUGGGACAAUUUCCGGGAGAAAAUAAGGGGGUACGCUAGGAGCUUCAGGGAGACCGUCCCGGGGCCGGAGGCUGGGGGCCUUGGCUGGGCCUGGUUGUUCUCAGCCAACUUCCCCUUCUCCUGGGCUGGUUCUGAGUGUCAGACUGGGGCACUUGGCAUUUGGUGGUGCCCCAGCCUUGCCUCUGCCCCCCCUCCCUUGAGGACCCCACUCCCCGAGCCUGGAAGCGCUUCCUGUGUCUGAGGAGCUGCAAGGGUCUUGGUUCAUUCUCGCCUCCUGUACUGACGGCACAUCCUCUUGAUCUUAGCCAAUGACGCCUGAGUGGCUGCUGCCUGCGCCAGAGCUGCAGGGGAGGCUCGGUGCUGGGAAGAAUGCACGUUCCAGGGCCCUCUUUCAGCCUCUCUCAAGCCUGAAUUUGGGAAGACUGCGGCCAGUAAAAAUGCUCCAUAAAAUGUUCCACAUGGUUUCCGGCGCGCGUGCGCUCUGUGAAAUGGCUCGAGAAGCGAUUAGCACGACCAUCCCUCACAUACUUACAUUUUUUUGUGGUGAGAACAUUUAAAGCCCACUCUUUCCAGUUCUUAAGUAUGCAUUAAUAGCUGUAAUCACCAUGUUGUACAUCAGAGCUCCAGAACUUACUCAUCUUAGAGCUGAAACUUUGUGCUCUCUGGCCGGCGUCUCUGCUGCCCCCUCCAGCCCCUGGUAAACACCCUACCGCUCUGGAUUUCAUGAGUUCAACUUGAAUUUUAGCGUCCACGUGUAAGUGAGAGCACGCAGUAUCUGUCUGUCUGUGCCUGGCUUAUUUCACUUGGCAUAAUGUCCUCCACGUUCAUCCAGGUUGUUGCAAAUGACUGAAUCUCAUUCUUUUUUGUUUUUUGAGACGGAGUCUUGCUCUGUCACCCAGGCACCAUCUCAGCUCACUGCAACCUCCGCCUCCCGGGUUCAAGCGAUUCUCCUGACUUAGCCUCUGAGUAGCUGGGAUUACAGGCAUGUGCCACCACGCCCGGCUGAUUUUUGUACCUUUAGUAGAGAUGGGGUCUCACCAUGUUGGCUGGUCUCGAACUCCUGACCUCAGGUGAUCUGCCCGCCUUGGCCUCCCAGAGUGCCGGGGUUACAAGCAUGAGCCACCGCGCCUGGCCUGAAUCUCAUUCAUUUCUAUGGCUGAGUAGUACUCCGCUGUGUAUCUACACUACAUAUGUAAAAUUCACUCAUCUGCCAUCGGACUCUUCCAUAUCUUGGCAGUUGUGGGCAGUGCAGCAGUGAACACGGGGGUGCUGAUGUCUCCCCGAGGUGCAGAGUCCACUUCCCUUGGGUGCCUCCCCAGCAGAGGGAUUGCUGGAUCCUAGGACAGUUGUAUUUUUAAUUUUUUGACGAACUGCCAUAGUGUUUUCCAUAAUGGCUGUACUAAUUUACAUUUCCACCAACACUGCACCAGGGUUCCUCUUGUCCACAUCCUCCCCAACGCUGGCUGGCUUUUGUGUUUUCAUAAUUGCCCUCCUAACAGGUGUGAGGCAAUAGCCCAUUUGGUUUUGAUUUCCAUUUCCCUGAUGAGUGCUGAUGGGACACUUUUGUCAUAUGCCUGUUUCCCAUUAUCCUGUCUUCUUCGGAGAAAUCUCUGUGGAGGUCUUUGACCUGCCUUAAAAUUGAGUUCCUUAUUUUCUUGCUGGUGAGUCCCACAUGUAUCUGGAUGUCCAUUCCUUAUCAAUGUAUGACUGGAAACAUUUUCUCCUGCCCGGAGGAAAUAUUUGUUUUCCUCUGCUUGUUUCCUUUGCUGUGCUGAAGCUGUUUAAUCUGAUGCUGUCUCGCGUGUGUGCGUUUGUGCUGCCUUUGUUUUGAUGUCAUAUUUCCAGGGAUUUCUUAAAAGUGCACCUGCACUCACCGUUGAUGGGAACGCAUGACGGUGCGGCCACUGUGGAAAGCAUUAGGGCUGUUUCUCAAAAAAUUAAAAAUUAAAUUCCACUUCUGGGUAUAUACCUCCCAAAACUGAAAGCAAGGGCACGAAGAGAUAUUCGUCCAUCCCUAUUUGUAGCAGCCAUAUUCACAAUCACCAAAGGUGGACACAACACGGUGUCUCCUGACAGAUGCAUGGUCCAUCCACACAAGGGGAUAUCACUCAAUCUUAAAACCAAAGGAAGCUCUGACACCUACUACAACAUGGAAAGACCCUGGGGACAUACUGCUCAGUGAAGUAAGCCAGUCACAAAGGGACAAGUACUGCAUGAUUCUACUUACAGGAGGUCCCUAGUCAAGUUCACUGAGCCAGACAGUAGGAUGGGGGUUGUCAGAGGCUGGGGAGAGGAAAAAGGGGGAGUUACUGUUUACUGAGUAUAGAGUUUCAGGUGUGCAAGAUGGAAAGUGUUCUGGAAAUGGAUGGUGGUGAUGAAUU